GCAAAGAAUCACCAUUUGGCCCAGGAUUUUAUACAUUCAGAUGGAUGGAUGGGUGGAUGAGAUAGAUUUAUAAGAAUUACAGGAAAGGACGUUCCAAAUAAAACAGAAGACCCUUUAUUGGCACAUUUCAAUGAGGGAAUUUAAUGGUAGUUACCAGAGAUGGCCCUAAAGCAACUGCAGGAAAGAUUAUGAGGUGUUUUUUUUAUAUCUAACUGCAAGGAAGAAGAUGAAGCAGAAUUCCAGAAAAAUCAGGAAAGGAGUCCAUUUUUCUUCAGACAUGGAAACACUUGGAGUUUUAUGAUUUCUUGUAAGAAUACAUGCUCAGACUUUUGAAGUUUGUUCAAAACCCAUUUCCUAAGCUUAAUAAAAUAUGUUUAUCUGUUACUGUUCAUCUAGAAGAUAUUAUUAUGGUGGACUAGGCUGAAGUUUUUCUUGUAGAAAGCCUGUGGGAAAUAAAAGAACACCAGGAAAUGAUUUUAAAAAAUGCUUGCUAAAUUAAAAUAUAAGAAAGUUUAA
Molecule: long non-coding RNA, 516 nt
Organism: Pantherophis guttatus
Lineage: Eukaryota; Metazoa; Chordata; Lepidosauria; Squamata; Colubridae
Source: RefSeq, a predicted model, not a curated record